AUUGAACGCUGGCGGCAGGCUUAACACAUGCAAGUCGAGCGGUAACAGAGAGAAGCUUGCUUCUCUGCUGACGAGCGGCGGACGGGUGAGUAAUGCCUAGGAAUCUGCCUAGUAGUGGGGGAUAACUUGCCGAAAGGUAAGCUAAUACCGCAUACGUCCUACGGGAGAAAGGAGGGGACCUUCGGGCCUUUCGCUAUUAGAUGAGCCUAGGUCGGAUUAGUUAGUUGGUGAGGUAAUGGCUCACCAAGACCGCGAUCCGUAACUGGUCUGAGAGGAUGAUCAGUCACACUGGAACUGAGACACGGUCCAGACUCCUACGGGAGGCAGCAGUGGGGAAUAUUGGACAAUGGGGGAACCCUGAUCCAGCCAUGCCGCGUGUGUGAAGAAGGUCUUAGGAUUGUAAAGCACUUUAAGUUGGGAGGAAGAGCAGUUAACUAAUAUUUGACUGUUUUGACGUUACCGACAGAAUAAGCACCGGCUAACUUCGUG
Molecule: ribosomal RNA, 489 nt
Filed under: uncultured bacterium
Lineage: Bacteria
Description: partial 16S ribosomal RNA
Rfam family: Bacterial small subunit ribosomal RNA
Source: RNAcentral